GCGAAAUUAAAACCACCGCGAAAGGUCAUUUUUCCCGCUACUGCGAAAUCAAAUCCCCGCAAACUUAAAUCCAACCAGCAGGUGUUAUGGUAUAGCAAAAUCAUUAAUUAAAUGGUUUGGUAGUUGAUUUUUUUCUAGUCCAAAACGUCUGGUAUCCACGAUGUAAGUUUGGUUUAGGUUUAAAAUUAUACUGUCUGUUUCAUAUGACAAGAAGGGUGAACCCUUAUGUUAUGAUAUGUUAAGAUAAAAUCAAACGUCCUCCCCAAAAGGACUGAAAUUAUUACUUUCGUGUGAAUAAUAAUAUCAAUCAAUGCAAUUGACAAUUUUCUUCACAUUAUUUUGUUCUCAGUGACAAUUCUACCGUUGUUGGAGGCCCGGCCAGUGACGUUCGCCCCCACACACCCAACACAGGAGGAUAAACACACCUCCGUGUCUCCUGGGGACUCAUGCCGGACCGAACCUGCAGCUGGAGUGGCUUCGGCAACGGGCUUCUACAAAGCGCGCUGUGACGAGGAACUGGACCCCUUCAUUGACAACGUCACAGUGGGUAACUCAUCACUUGCCUCUGCCGACCCAGCCCUAUCCGGCCCUGAGAACAGAACUUUGCCAGUGUAUGCAGUGGCAAUCAGCUCUACGGUGAUGGGCAUCUACAGCGUCGUGGGCAUCGUUGGCAACGGUCUGGUCAUCUUGGCCUUCUGCGCUUACAGA
Branchiostoma floridae (Florida lancelet) is the source of this 708-nucleotide long non-coding RNA. RefSeq lists it as uncharacterized. Lineage: Eukaryota; Metazoa; Chordata; Leptocardii; Amphioxiformes; Branchiostomatidae. The transcript has 3 exons. The record is from RefSeq and is a predicted model, not a curated record.